RNAcentral lists this transfer RNA (67 nucleotides) under Acanthosepion pharaonis. Its description in RNAcentral is "Sepia pharaonis tRNA-Asp". Lineage: Eukaryota; Metazoa; Mollusca; Cephalopoda; Sepiida; Sepiidae. The record is from RNAcentral.
AAAAAGUUAGUUACAUUUAUAACAUUAAAUUGUCAAUUUAAAAUUACUAUAUUUAUAGUACUUUUUG